This 253-nucleotide ribosomal RNA is filed under the name uncultured bacterium. RNAcentral's name for it is "partial 16S ribosomal RNA". It matches the Rfam family "Bacterial small subunit ribosomal RNA", at positions 524 to 776 of the family's 1533-position model. The record is from RNAcentral.
UACAGAGGUCUCAAGCGUUGUUCGGAUUCAUUGGGCGUAAAGGGUGUGUAGGUGGCGCGCUAAGUCGGGUGUGAAAUCUCGGAGCUUAACUUCGAAACUGCAUUCGAUACUGGCGUGCUUGAGGACUGGAGAGGAGACUGGAAUUCAUGGUGUAGCAGUGAAAUGCGUAGAGAUCGGGAGGAACACCAGUGGCGAAGGCGGCUACCUGGACCAGCACUGACACUGAAGCACGAAAGCGUGGGGAGCAAACAGG